CAUUUAGGACACAACAGAUUCUUGGUGGUGUCCUGCUUGAUUGCUGAAGCAUUAAUUGAUAAGCUGCAGCAUGAGUCUACGUCACGCCACUUAUCUUUAAAGAAAACCCGUCCCAUUAUCUUGUGUAUUGCAAACUACACAGGGGGACUCCGUGUGAUCAGGCUGUCAUUUCCUUUGGUCGGCUCUGUUAUUCCAGAAAGCCUUUGUGGAGCAGCCAAGUGGUCCAGCCGCAGACAGAAGGUGGGCUCCAUGGCAUGCAUCUGAGGUUGUCAGCCCGGCAGGGGAGGGAGUCGCUCCUGGUCGGCCAAGACAAGGAGAAAACAAACACGAUCCCUGAACAGGAGACUGACAGUAGAUCCCCCAUGAUAAAUACAGUCAUACAGUAAAUCAGAAAUGAUUUAUUCUCUUGGUAGCACGAUGGAAUGAUAAUUGAGCAGACUGAAGCAGCAAUAUAUGUACACAAGGAGUUUACAUAGAAAAUGAAUAAAAAUAAAAACCAGCCUUAAAUGUGA
Molecule: long non-coding RNA, 512 nt
Organism: Scophthalmus maximus (turbot)
Lineage: Eukaryota; Metazoa; Chordata; Actinopteri; Pleuronectiformes; Scophthalmidae
Exons: 2
Source: RefSeq, a predicted model, not a curated record